This 74-nucleotide transfer RNA is filed under the name Planctomycetota bacterium. Its description in RNAcentral is "tRNA-Val". It matches the Rfam family "tRNA". From Rfam's summary of the family: Transfer RNA (tRNA) molecules are approximately 80 nucleotides in length. Their secondary structure includes four short double-helical elements and three loops (D, anti-codon, and T loops). Further hydrogen bonds mediate the characteristic L-shaped molecular structure. tRNAs have two regions of fundamental functional importance: the anti-codon, which is responsible for specific mRNA codon recognition, and the 3' end, to which the tRNAs corresponding amino acid is attached (by aminoacyl-tRNA synthetases). tRNAs cope with the degeneracy of the genetic code in two manners: having more than one tRNA (with a specific anti-codon) for a particular amino acid; and 'wobble' base-pairing, i.e. permitting non-standard base-pairing at the 3rd anti-codon position. The record is from RNAcentral. RNAcentral also lists the same sequence under 1 other name. Lineage: Bacteria; Pseudomonadati; Planctomycetota.
GGUCCAUUGGCGCAGUUGGCUAGCGCGCUUGCAUGACACGCAAGAGGUCACUGGUUCAAAUCCAGUAUGGACCA